UCCGUAGGUGAACCUGCGGAAGGAUCAUUACCGAGUAUUGGGUCUUAGUGCCCGCACUCCAACCCUUUGUGUAUCUAAAACCGUUGCUUUGGCGGGCCCGCGGUGCAAUGCCGCUGCUGGCUCACGCUGGUUAGCGCCCGCCAGAGAACUACUAAACUCUUGUUAAUUUAGUAUCGUCCGAGCAAACUUUAAUAAUUAAAACUUUCAACAACGGAUCUCUUGGUUCUGGCAUCGAUGAAGAACGCAGCGAAAUGCGAUAAGUAAUGUGAAUUGCAGAAUUCAGUGAAUCAUCGAAUCUUUGAACGCACAUUGCGCCCCCUGGUAUUCCGGGGGGCAUGCCUGUUCGAGCGUCAUUACAACCCUCAAGCUCUGCUUGGUAUUGGGCUUCGUCGGUCCCCGACGUGCCUCAAAGCUAUCGGCGGCGGUGCCUUUCUCUAAGCGUGGUAAAUCUUAUUCGCUUGUGAGUCGGGCUUCGCCUGCCGGACAAACCGGGCUUCGGCCCAUUUUCUCAGGUUGACCUCGGAUCAGGUAGGGAUACCCGCUGAACUUAAGCAUAUCAAUAAGGCGGGAGGGGAAGGGUCGGACUGGCCAAGGGCACACAGGGGGGGAUA
Molecule: ribosomal RNA, 611 nt
Filed under: uncultured fungus
Lineage: Eukaryota; Fungi
Description: eukaryotic LSU rRNA
Rfam family: 5.8S ribosomal RNA (bases 200-353)
Source: RNAcentral